CUACGGGGCGCUGCAGUGGGGAAUAUUGCACAAUGGAGGAAACUCUGAUGCAGCAACGCCGCGUGGAGGAUGACACUUUUCGGAGCGUAAACUCCUUUUAUAUAGGAAGAAGAUGACGGUACUAUAUGAAUAAGCGCCGGCUAACUCCGUGCCAGCAGCCGCGGUGAAUACGGAGGGCGCAAGCGUUACUCGGAAUCACUGGGCGUAAAGAGCGUGUAGGCGGAUUAAAAAGUCAGAAGUGAAAUCCUAUAGCUUAACUAUAGAACUGCUUCUGAAACUCUUAAUCUAGAGUAUGGGAGAGGUAGAUGGAAUUUCUGGUGUAGGGGUAAAAUCCGUAGAGAUCAGAAGGAAUACCGAUUGCGAAGGCGAUCUACUAGAACAUUAUUGACGCUGAGACGCGAAAGCGUGGGGAGCAAACAGGAUUAGAUACCCCUGUAGUC
RNAcentral lists this ribosomal RNA (440 nucleotides) under uncultured bacterium. RNAcentral describes it as "partial 16S ribosomal RNA". It matches the Rfam family "Bacterial small subunit ribosomal RNA", at positions 339 to 795 of the family's 1533-position model. The record is from RNAcentral.